UACGGAGGGUCCGAGCGUUAAUCGGAAUUACUGGGCGUAAAGCGCGCGUAGGUGGUUCAGUCAGUCAGAUGUGAAAGCCCCGGGCUCAACCUGGGAACUGCACCUGAUACUGCUGAACUAGAGUACGGUAGAGGGCAGUGGAAUUUCCGGUGUAGCGGUGAAAUGCGUAGAGAUCGGAAGGAACACCAGUGGCGAAGGCGACUGCCUGGACCGAUACUGACACUGAGGUG
This 230-nucleotide ribosomal RNA is filed under the name uncultured microorganism. Its description in RNAcentral is "partial 16S ribosomal RNA". It matches the Rfam family "Bacterial small subunit ribosomal RNA", at positions 524 to 753 of the family's 1533-position model. The record is from RNAcentral.